This 395-nucleotide ribosomal RNA is filed under the name Globipes simplex. Its description in RNAcentral is "12S ribosomal RNA". It matches the Rfam family "Microsporidia small subunit ribosomal RNA". Lineage: Eukaryota; Metazoa; Arthropoda; Arachnida; Opiliones; Sclerosomatidae. The record is from RNAcentral.
AGARAGUUUGAAAAUUAAAGAUUUUGGCGGUGUUUUAUCUAGGUAGAGGAACUUGUCCUUUAAUAGAUGAUCCUCUUAGGAUCUUACUUAAUUUUAUACUCAUAUAUCGUUGUUGUUAGAUUAUUUAGAAAGGGUUUUAAAUUUUCUGCUUAAAAUAAGUUAUUUUUUACUUCAAAUCAAGGUGUGGUUAAUAUUUAAGUAGAGAUGAGUUACAUUUUUUUAAUUAUUGGAAUUUUAUUUUGAAAAGAGAAAUGAAGCUGGAUUUACUAGUAAAUUUAAAUUAAUGAGUUAUUUUGAAUUAAGCUCUGGAACAUGUACAUAUCGCCCGUCACUCUAAUUAAUAAAGUUAGAUAAGUCGUAACAAAGUAGAUUUAAGGGAACUUGAAUCUGGUUAG